This 259-nucleotide long non-coding RNA is filed under the name Brassica napus (rape). Its description in RNAcentral is "long non-coding RNA (BNAP_LNC018046)". The record is from RNAcentral. Lineage: Eukaryota; Viridiplantae; Streptophyta; Magnoliopsida; Brassicales; Brassicaceae.
UUUCGAUUUACAACGAAAUUACGUCGAAACAUCGGUUUACGACGAAUUUACAAGGCCCACGUUUACGACGAAGUUACCAGGCCCGCGUUUUUCCAUUUACGAUGAAAUUACGGGGAAACAUCGGUUUACGACGAUUUUAUAACGCUUAACCCUAAACACCGAGAAUGAAAUCCCUAAACCCCAAAGUCACAUAUCAUCUAACAUCAUAUCUCUUCUUCUCUACUACUUUAUGCUCUUUCUCCAACUUAAACUCUAAAAC